This 395-nucleotide ribosomal RNA is filed under the name uncultured bacterium. RNAcentral's name for it is "bacterial SSU rRNA". It matches the Rfam family "Bacterial small subunit ribosomal RNA", at positions 29 to 416 of the family's 1533-position model. The record is from RNAcentral.
AACGAACGCUGGCGGCGCGCCUAAUACAUGCAAGUCGAGCGAGAAGACGUAGCAAUACGUUUGUAAAGCGGCGAACGGGUGAGGAAUACAUGGGUAACCUACCCUCGAGUGGGAAUAACUAGCCGAAAGGUUAGCUAAUACCGCGUACGCUCCUUGGACUUCGGUUCAGGGAGGAAAGCGAUACCGUGGGUAUCGCGCUCUUGGAUGGGCUCAUGUCCUAUCAGCUUGUUGGUGAGGUAACGGCUCACCAAGGCUUCGACGGGUAGCUGGUCUGAGAGGACGAUCAGCCACACUGGCACUGCGACACGGGCCAGACUCCUACGGAGGCAGCAGUAAGGAAUAUUGCGCAAUGGGCGAAAGCCUGACGCAGCGACGCCGCGUGGGGGAUGAAGGUC